Pongo pygmaeus (Bornean orangutan) is the source of this 2960-nucleotide long non-coding RNA. RefSeq lists it as uncharacterized. NCBI's taxonomy places the organism in Eukaryota, Metazoa, Chordata, Mammalia, Primates, Hominidae. The transcript is spliced from 9 exons. The record is from RefSeq and is a predicted model, not a curated record.
GGAAGCUGGCAGCCUGGGCUCUUGGAGAUUGUAUCUGGUGCUGGAGAGGACUGGCUCCCACACUCAGUGAGGAAGGAAUUUUACUGACCCAGCACCCAGAUGAACUUUGGUGAGAAGAGGAGGUGAGGAAGUCAAGGAGCCUUGCUUUUUCACUUGCAAUUAUGGCACUUCCUUUGGAAAUGGACAUAAGAGCCUGGUGGUUGAUGAAAGAGAUGAAACUGUGAAGAGACUGGAGAAGCUAAUCCAUCAAUAGUUAAGAUUCCAUUUCUAAAAGAUCUUACUUUGAGUCUACCUAUGCCUGGGAUGUCAAGAGACGGAGUUUCGCUGUUGUUGCCCAGGCUGGAGUGCAAUGGCGUGAUUUCGGCUCAUGGCUACCUCUGCCUCCCAGGUUCAAGCAAUUCUCCUGCCUCAGCCUCCCAAGUAGCUGGGAUUACCGAUCAUCUCUCUACUGACCUUUCAGUGGCUUAGCAUUUUGUUGCAAUGCACAAGUGAAGUUGGGAAACAGAGCCAAGUGACAAGCUGUGAAGUAACAGCUCAGCCUUCACAAAGCAAAUGUGCUUUGUGCACUUUCUUGCCAGAGCAGAUGUGGCCUCGGUGGACUGUGGGGAGCAUCAUCUCUCAGGUAAAAAUAAAUUGCUAACAUUAGGACCAAAUGAUGCAAAUCCUUUCAUUUGCAAACAGAUCAUGAACUGGCAGCCAUGUGGAAAGAAGACUAGACUGCGAAUCACUUAGGAUCCUGCCCUCGGUUUAGUCCAGAAUACUCUGCCAAUCAGCUUUUUGGCCGCAGAACAGAGAUUUCUAACAUUUCCUGGGAUUUCACAAAAAAGGAAAAGAAAGAAAAAAGAAUUCAACCAAAUACUCAUUUGUUAGCCCAGCAUUGGAAAUCACCAGUCUUAAAGAACGAUUGGAGAAUCAACCAGUACCAAUACUGCUAUCCUUCAUCUCCUUGAUAUUCAGCCUUAUCCAGUAGAAUUUCUUGGAGCCCACAAAAUGUUAAUUGAAAAGAUAAGUCUGCUUUGGAAAACAUCUAUAUUUUACACAGAGAUGGAAUUUGGGUUUGCGAUUUGCCUAGGGGCACAUUUUGUCUCUGCUCCAUAUGACAUCAGAUGAAGUGAUCAGAAGGCUAAAAGAUUGCCCAAGUACCUCUCACUGAAACUCGUGGAAUAAAUAAACAACUACAAACAAUUCAUUAUGGUUAGAGGCAAUGAAUGAGGCACACUUGACAGAAGAGGAAAUUGUUGCAUGGAGCUACAAAAAAUAAAUAAGAUUUCCACCAGUAGAGGAGUAGAGAAAAGAUAUUUCCAGAUCACACCUGCCCAACUUUCAACUGCCGGUGCCUACAUUUAUUUAUCUGAAAGUUUCCUCGGAAUGUUGAGGCCCAUUCAGCUCAUGCAAGAGGAAGAGAGGCUGGGAAUGUGGGGGAAUGAAGCCUGCCUCCCAGAUGCUUUCAACAGUGUCAGAUAACAGGUGGUGGAUAAGUACACCAACUCCCUGGCCCUUGGAUGGGACCGCUCCAAGAUGGUGGAAGAUACAACAAUCUGAAUGGUAGCUUCCAGAAUCCAGUGUUGGUGACAUGUGGUGCAACCGAAGACAUGGAGCAUGGCAGUAAUGGUGGCUUUGCUGGAACAGUUCUACUUUGAGAUUUUUGAGCACUGCUCCUUCCCUUGUGGUCUCCCAGCCUGGUUCUUUGAUCCUCUUAGAGAUUCUUUGAGCUCUCCAAUAUCUUUAUAUUUCUUUCCUGCCAAAAUGCCAAAGUUUGUUUCUAUAGCUUAUAACUAAGAACACUAUCUGUUUGUGCCCAUCAGGAUCCAGCCAGGAAAAUAGCCUCCUAGGUCUUUCAAACAGCUUAGAUUUAAUACAGAUACUUGGUUAAAAGGGUGGUGGAGAAGCUGGAAAGCCCUACAAGGAGUAGGGAGUAGCCUAGUGAUUAGUACCAGCUAGAAGCUGCUAUCACCCUUAGGGUUGAGGGACACUGAAGAAAGAGCUUGUUGUUUAACAGGAGGUAGAACCACAGUAGGAGGUGAAAUAGGCCUGUAAGUCAAAAGGCAGUUGACAUGUACAUGUAAUAGAAGCUCAAAUACUUUUUGGCUAAAUGAAUAAAGAGAAUAAUCAGGGAGAAGUCUGGGACCAGAACUGUAUGUUGUAUCAAUUCUAAAAGGUUAGGGGAAUAAGAAAAUUCCAUCUAAAAAGAAGCAAUCAGAGGAAGAAAAUAGGCAAAGGUAGUGUGUCCUGGAAAUCACGGCUCUGAAAUAAUCAAAUCUGCCAGACUCUUAACUGAAUUUCUACCAAAUAGACCUCUGAAUUCUUCACUGAGUCCAGAUAGAAGACUCGGAGUACUUAUCCAUAAGCUCUGGGCAUCAUAGCUUCUAAUCCAGGCUAUUCCCUGGGUAACUUGUGUUAUUAAGUGAGGAUAACAGUGCUUGCCAAUUUUACUUGGGCGAGAUGAGAAGCAAUGAAUAAGGAAGAUUUUAGAAUACUUGGCAAAAGAGAGAAAUGUGUCACAGCAGGAAUCUUAAUUGAUAAGCUAGAGAUAAGGACAUUUAUUCUCACAGCUUUAUUUUAUGGACUAUCCUAUAUGGCUUACAUGAAUAAAAGGAAUGUAUUACCUGUUAGUGACAGCACUGCCUUACUGCAUAAGAGAAAGCAAAGGUCUGUGUUUGACGUUUAUGAGAAGAAACAUGGCCAAAAGGAAAGAGCAUAGUUCUUUUUCUUUCUUUCUUCACUUAUUUAUACCUGUUUUAGUAAUAAUGAUUAAUUUUUAGUAUGUAUGUAUAUGUAUGCUAAAAUCAUACACAUUCAUGAUGUAUAACAUGAUGUUUUGAAAUAUGUGUAAAUUGCGGAAUGGGUAAAUUAAGCUAAUUAACAUAUGCAUUGUCUCACAUACUUUUUUGUAUGUGGUGAUAACAUUUAGCAUCUACUCUCAGCCAUUUUCAAGUAUACAAUAAAUUGUUAUUAACAAU